GUGCCACGUUGAAAGUCACUGAGCUCUUCAGUAAGGCCAUUCUACUGACAAUGUUUGUCUAUGGAGAUUGCAUGGCUGUGUGGUCGAUUUUAUACACCAGUCAGCAACGGGUGUGGCUGAAAUAGCAGAAUCCACUCAUUUGAAGGAGUGUCCACAUCCUUUUCUAUAUAUAGUGUAGCUGUGAUACAUUCCAGGGCCUGGGCCAAGAGGGAUGUGGGAAGAGAUACAAGAAGGACUAGAGGUACUACAGGAGGUACUAGAGUUACUACAGGAGGUACUAGAGUUACUACAGGAGGUACUAGAGUUACUACAGGAGGUACUAGAAGGACUACAGAAGGUACUAGAGGUACUAGAGAGACUAGAGGUACUACAGGAGGUACUAUAGGUACUACAGGAGGUACUAGAGAGACUAGAGAGACUAGAGGUACUACAGGAGGUACUACAGAAGGUACUAUAGGUACUACAGGAGGUACUAGAGAGACUACAGGUACUACAGGAGGUCCUAUAGGUACUACAGGAGGUACUAGAGAGACUAGAGGUACUACAGGAGGUACUAUAGGUACUACAGGAGGUACUAGAGAGACUAGAGGUACUACAGGAGUUUCUACAGGACAAACUAGAGAUACUACAGGAGGAACUACAGGAGGUACUAGAAAAGGAACUAGAGGUACUACAGUAGGUACUACAGGAGGAGGUAGAGGUACUACAGGAGGAGGUAGAGGUACUACAGGAGGAAGUAGAGGUACUACAGGAGGUACUACAGGGGGUAGUAGAGGUACUACAGGAGGAACUAGAGGUACUACAGGUACUACAGGAGGAAGUAUAGGGGGUAGUAGAGGUACUACAGGAGGUACUACAGGGGGUAGUAGAGGUACUAGAGGAGGUACUAGAGGAGGAAGUAGAGGUACUACAGGAGGUACUAGAGGAGGAAGUAGAGGUACUAGAGGAGGAAGUAGAGGUACUAGAGGAGGAAGUAGAGGUACUAGAGGAGGAAGUAGAGGUACUACAGGAGGUACUAGAGGAGGUAGUAGAGGUACUACAGGAGGUACUAGAGGAGGAGGUAGAGGUACUACAGGAGGUAGUAGAGGUACUAGAGGAGGUACUACAGGAGGUACUAGAGGAGGAAGUAGAGGUACUAGAGGAGGAGGUAGAGGUACUAGAGGAGGUAGUAGAGGUACUAGAGGAGGAAGUAGAGGUACUAGAGGAGGAAGUAGAGGUACUAGAGGAGGAAGUAGAGGUACUAGAGAGACUAGAGAAGAAAUAAGAGCUGAGACCAUUUUCUUCUAGUUGACCUAUGAUCACCUGGGUUACACCAAGAAAACCAUGACAAACCAUUUACCAUGGUCAAG
Molecule: long non-coding RNA, 1349 nt
Filed under: Salmo salar (Atlantic salmon)
Lineage: Eukaryota; Metazoa; Chordata; Actinopteri; Salmoniformes; Salmonidae
Description: lncRNA (ENSSSAG00000110259.1)
Source: RNAcentral